This 465-nucleotide ribosomal RNA is filed under the name uncultured bacterium. RNAcentral's name for it is "partial 16S ribosomal RNA". It matches the Rfam family "Bacterial small subunit ribosomal RNA", at positions 338 to 795 of the family's 1533-position model. The record is from RNAcentral.
CCUACGGGAGGCUGCAGUGGGGAAUAUUGCGCAAUGGGCGAAAGCCUGACGCAGCGACGCCGCGUGAGGGAUGAAGGUCUUCGGAUCGUAAACCUCUGUCAGCAGGGAAGAACGGUCACUGUGCUAAUCAGCAGUGAAUUGACGGUACCUGCAAAGGAAGCCACGGCUAACUACGUGCCAGCAGCCGCGGUAAUACGUAGGUGGCAAGCGUUGUCCGGAUUUACUGGGUGUAAAGGGCGUGUAGCCGGGCUGACAAGUCAGAUGUGAAAUCCGGGGGCUCAACCCCCGAACUGCAUUUGAAACUGUUGGUCUUGAGUAUCGGAGAGGCAGGCGGAAUUCCUAGUGUAGCGGUGAAAUGCGUAGAUAUUAGGAGGAACACCAGUGGCGAAGGCGGCCUGCUGGACGACAACUGACGGUGAGGCGCGAAAGCGUGGGGAGCAAACAGGAUUAGAUACCCCGGUAGUC